Molecule: long non-coding RNA, 1011 nt
Filed under: Malus domestica (apple)
Lineage: Eukaryota; Viridiplantae; Streptophyta; Magnoliopsida; Rosales; Rosaceae
Description: long non-coding RNA (MDOM_LNC000785)
Source: RNAcentral
AGUAAAUGAAUAAUCUUAAAUCAUGCUAGUAACAUUAUCAUUCAUUUGGUUGUUAAUCCUAGUAACAUUAUCUUAUUAACAAGAAAAAAAUCUUCACUUUUGUAAAAAUAUAUUCAUUUUAAUAUGAGUUUAUUUCUCUAGUGUAAAUUGCGUGUCACUUGCACAUAUUGUACAAAGUUACGGGCAAAGUGUAUCGUACCAUAUUUACAAUUUUUACAGUUAUAAUAACAACUGUCAAUGACACAUAAUGAUGGAAUUUUAAAUGAGGAAUCUAUUUGCAAGAAAAAUAAUAUGUCAAUGUUUUGUUUUGUUUUGCAAAAUUGUAACGGUUGAAAAAGCUGAUUUCAAAUAUUGUUGUGAUUACCUUUACUUGAACAAUAACUCAAAAUUACUACAAAAUGUAAUCCUCUUUGGCAGGUUUAACCCCGUUAUGCCCAUCCUACCCCCACAUGGUUAAACCCAGGCCGGUCCUAAGAUUUUGGAGGCCAUGUGCAAGACUCAAACAGAGACCCUUACAAGGUCUAAAUUUUGGUUGCUAUAUUUUCUUGUAUAUUUUAUAUUUUAUCUUUUUUGUGUGUAUAAAUUGAUAUAAACGCAAAAGAAAUUAAAUAAAAAAGAAGCAUGGUUUGGUGGCUAUGUAUAUGCAUUCCUUAUGUUUUUGAGUUUGAAACUCCUUACUUUUUAAAUACAAAAAGCAUGGUGUGGUGGCAUAUCAUAUCACCGUACAUAUAUUAUAAUCAGAACAACUCAUGCUCUUUAUUAUGAACUAGUUAAACAGAUCAUUGGUUAUGAUAUUGUCGCAUCUUAUAAUGAACUGUUAGUUUUUUUUAUUGCAUUUUUUCUCACUCCCUAAAGUGAGGAUGAUUCUAACCCCCACUCGGUUGAUUGUCGUUAGAUUAGUUAGAAUUCAAGAUUUGUGUAUUAAAUCAAUUAAACCAAAUUAAUUUAACGGUAAUCAAUAAGGGAUGAGCAUCACCUGCUCACCUCCACUUUAGUGUUGUGAGCAAAGUU